Molecule: ribosomal RNA, 422 nt
Filed under: uncultured bacterium
Lineage: Bacteria
Description: partial 16S ribosomal RNA
Rfam family: Bacterial small subunit ribosomal RNA
Source: RNAcentral
GAAUUUUGGACAAUUGGCGAAAGCCUUAUCCAGCAAUGCCCCGUGCAGGAUGAAGGCCUUCGGGUUGUAAACUGCUUUUUUACGGAACGCAAAUCUUUGGUUUAAUACCCUUGAUUCAUGACGGUACCGUAAGAAUAAGCACCGGCUAACUCCGUGCCAGCAGCCGCGGUAAUACGUAGGGAGCAAGCGUUAAUCGGAAUUAUUGGGCGUAAAGCGUGCGCAGGCGGUUUGGUAAGACAGAGGUGAAAUCCCCGGGCUCAACCUGGGAACUGCCUUUGUGACUGCAAGGCUAGAGUACGGCAGAGGGGGGUGGAAUUCCGCGUGUAGCAGUGAAAUGCGUAGAUAUGCGGAGGAACACCGAUGGCGAAGGCAACCCCCUGGGCCUGUACUGACGCUCAUGCACGAAAGCGUGGGGAGCAAAC